This 496-nucleotide ribosomal RNA is filed under the name uncultured Anaerolineaceae bacterium. RNAcentral's name for it is "bacterial SSU rRNA". It matches the Rfam family "Bacterial small subunit ribosomal RNA", at positions 903 to 1382 of the family's 1533-position model. Lineage: Bacteria; Bacillati; Chloroflexota; Anaerolineae; Anaerolineales; Anaerolineaceae. The record is from RNAcentral.
GCGCCUUGCCAGCCCGCUCAGAAACUCAAAGGAAGUUCGACGGGUCCCCGACACAAGCAGCGGAGCGUGUGGUUUAAUUCGAUGGGUACGCGAAGAACCUUACCAGGGUUUGACAUGCAGGUGGUAGGGAUCCGAAAGGUGAACGACCCUUCGGGAGCCUGCACAGGUGCUGCAUGGCUGUCGUCAGCUCGUGUCGUGAGAUGUUCGGUUAAGUCCGCUAACGAGCGCAACCCUCGUCGUGUGUUACAAGUGUCACACGAGACCGCCGGUUUUAAGCCGGAGAAAGGUGAGGAUGAAGUCAAGUCAGCAUGGCCUUUAUAUCCUGGGCUACACACACGCUACAAUGGCUGGUACAAUUGGUCGCGAAACCGCGAGGUGGAGCCAAUCCUUAAAGCCAGCCUCAGUUCAGAUUGUAGGCUGCAACUCGCCUGCAUGAAGAUGGAGUUGCUAGUAAACGCAGGUCAGCAUUACUGCGUUGAAUACGUUCCCGGGGAUU